GUAGUCAUAUGCUUGUCUCAAAGAUUAAGCCAUGCAUGUCUAAGUAUAAGCAAUUAUACAGCGAAACUGCGAAUGGCUCAUUAAAUCAGUUAUCGUUUAUUUGAUAGUGCCACAUUCCAUGGAUAACCGUGGUAAUUCUAGAGCUAAUACAUGCACAAAACCGCGACUUCGGGAGCGGUGUAUUUAUUAGAUUCAAAACCAAUGCCCUCCGGGGCUCACUGGUGAUUCAUAAUAACUUCUCGAAUCGCAUGGCCUUGCGCCGGCGAUGGCUCAUUCAAAUUUCUGCCCUAUCAACUUUCGACUUUAGUGUAGUGGACUAAAGUGGUUGCAACGGGUAACGGAGGGUUAGGGCUCGACCCCGGAGAAGGGGCCUGAGAAACGGCUACUACAUCCAAGGAAGGCAGCAGGCGCGCAAAUUACCCAAUCCCGACACGGGGAGGUAGUGACAAUAAAUACUGAUACAGGGCUCUUUCGGGUCCUGUAAUCGGAAUGAGUACAAUUUAAAUCCCUUAACGAGGAACAAUUGGAGGGCAAGUCUGGUGCCAGCAGCCGCGGUAAUUCCAGCUCCAAUAGCGUAUAUUAAAGUUGUU
This 590-nucleotide ribosomal RNA is filed under the name uncultured Lulworthiaceae. RNAcentral's name for it is "SSU rRNA". It matches the Rfam family "Eukaryotic small subunit ribosomal RNA", at positions 20 to 614 of the family's 1831-position model. Lineage: Eukaryota; Fungi; Ascomycota; Sordariomycetes; Lulworthiales. The record is from RNAcentral.